RNAcentral lists this ribosomal RNA (484 nucleotides) under uncultured bacterium. RNAcentral's name for it is "partial 16S ribosomal RNA". It matches the Rfam family "Bacterial small subunit ribosomal RNA", at positions 30 to 507 of the family's 1533-position model. The record is from RNAcentral.
AUUGAACGCUGGCGGCAUGCCUUACACAUGCAAGUCGAACGGCAGCACGGACUUCGGUCUGGUUGCGAGUGGCGAACGGGUGAGUAAUGUAUCGGAACGUACCUUUCAGUGGGGGAUAACGUAGCGAAAGUUACGCUAAUACCGCAUAUUCUGUGAGCAGGAAAGCAGGGGAUCGAAAGACCUUGCGCUGAUUGAGCGGCCGAUAUCAGAUUAGCUAGUUGGUGGGGUAAAGGCCUACCAAGGCGACGAUCUGUAGCGGGUCUGAGAGGAUGAUCCGCCACACUGGAACUGAGACACGGUCCAGACUCCUACGGGAGGCAGCAGUGGGGAAUUUUGGACAAUGGGGGCAACCCUGAUCCAGCCAUGCCGCGUGAGUGAAGAAGGCCUUCGGGUUGUAAAGCUCUUUCGGCCGGGAAGAAAUCGCAUAGGCUAAUACCCUGUGUGGAUGACGGUACCGGAAUAAGAAGCACCGGCUAACUACGUG